RNAcentral lists this ribosomal RNA (600 nucleotides) under uncultured bacterium. Its description in RNAcentral is "bacterial SSU rRNA". It matches the Rfam family "Bacterial small subunit ribosomal RNA", at positions 117 to 721 of the family's 1533-position model. The record is from RNAcentral.
GUGUGCACUGCUUUAUCUGGGGGAUAGCCUUUCGAAAGGAAGAUUAAUACCCCAUAAUAUGUUGAAUGGCAUCAUUCGACAUUGAAAACUCCGGUGGAUAGAGAUGGGCACGCGCAAGAUUAGAUAGUUGGUGAGGUAACGGCUCACCAAGUCUACGAUCUUUAGGGGGCCUGAGAGGAUGAUCCCCCACACUGGUACUGAGACACGGACCAGACUCCUACGGGAGGCAGCAGUGAGGAAUAUUGGACAAUGGGUGAGAGCCUGAUCCAGCCAUCCCGCGUGAAGGACGACUGCCCUAUGGGUUGUAAACUUCUUUUGUAUAGGGAUAAACCUACCCUCGUGAGGGUAGCUGAAGGUACUAUACGAAUAAGCACCGGCUAACUCCGUGCCAGCAGCCGCGGUAAUACGGAGGGUGCAAGCGUUAUCCGGAUUUAUUGGGUUUAAAGGGUCCGUAGGCGGAUCUGUAAGUCAGUGGUGAAAUCUCACAGCUUACCUGUGAAAACUGCCAUUGAUACUGCAGGGUCUUGAGUGUGUUGGAAGUAGCUGGGAAUAAGCCACGUGUAACGGGUGGAAAUUGCCUUAGAUUUUCACUUAGAAACA